AGUGAACGCUGGCGGUAGGCCUAACACAUGCAAGUCGAACGGCAGCACAGGAGAGCUUGCUCUCUGGGUGGCGAGUGGCGGACGGGUGAGGAAUACAUCGGAAUCUACUCUGUCGUGGGGGAUAACGUAGGGAAACUUACGCUAAUACCGCAUACGACCUACGGGUGAAAGCAGGGGAUCUUCGGACCUUGCGCGAUUGAAUGAGCCGAUGUCGGAUUAGCUAAUUGGCGGGGUAAAGGCCCACCAAGGCGACGAUCCGUAGCUGGUAUGAGAGGAUGAUCAGCCACACUGGAACUGAGACACGGUCCAGACUCCUACGGGAGGCAGCAGUGGGGAAUAUUGGACAAUGGGCGCAAGCCUGAUCCAGCCAUACCGCGUGGGUGAAGAAGGCCUUCGGGUUGUAAAGCCCUUUUGUUGGGAAAGAAAUCCAGCUGGCUAAUACCCGGUUGGGAUGACGGUACCCAAAGAAUAAGCACCGGCUAACUUCGUGCCAGCAGCCGCCGUAA
Molecule: ribosomal RNA, 506 nt
Filed under: uncultured bacterium
Lineage: Bacteria
Description: partial 16S ribosomal RNA
Rfam family: Bacterial small subunit ribosomal RNA
Source: RNAcentral